RNAcentral lists this ribosomal RNA (251 nucleotides) under uncultured prokaryote. RNAcentral describes it as "partial 16S rRNA". It matches the Rfam family "Bacterial small subunit ribosomal RNA", at positions 525 to 775 of the family's 1533-position model. The record is from RNAcentral.
ACAGAGGGUGCAAGCGUUAAUCGGAUUUACUGGGCGUAAAGGGCGCGUAGGCGGGUUUUUAAGUCGGAUGUGAAAUCCCUGGGCUCAACCUAGGAAUUGCAUUCGAUACUGGAAGUCUAGAGUAUGGGAGAGGAAAGUGGAAUUCCCGGUGUAGUGGUAAAAUACGUAGAUAUCGGGAGGAACACCAGUGGCGAAGGCGGCUUUCUGGUCCAAUACUGACGCUGAGGCGCGAAAGCGUGGGGAUCAAACAG